Molecule: long non-coding RNA, 512 nt
Organism: Bubalus bubalis (water buffalo)
Lineage: Eukaryota; Metazoa; Chordata; Mammalia; Artiodactyla; Bovidae
Exons: 3
Source: RefSeq, a predicted model, not a curated record
GUUGCUCACUUGGGAUCUUUGACCGUCAUUGUGACAUGCAGUUUUUUACAAAUUUCAUUUUAGUUGCAGCAUGAGGGAUCUAGUUCCCUGACCCAGGAUCGAACCCAGAGCCCCUGCAUUGGGAGCAUGGAAUCUUAACCACUGAACCACCAGGGAAGUCCUGGGUCUUCCAGUUGUAGUAGUCAGGUGUUCAUCCCAAGGGCACUCCUUCCUUAACAUCCUGCACUCUGAACUUCCUCAGAGUUCACUUCCUGGGAAGAUUAACCCAUGACAAGUGUCCAGCCCAGGAACUUCCAUAUUUAUGCAAUUUACUUUCAGUAAAUCCCUUUACAGUAAGGGAUAUACUUGACUUCAAUCCACAGAAAUAUAUAGAGACUAACAUGCUGAGCCCUUAUGUCAGAAAGUGAAGAAGAACUAAAGAGCCUCUUGAUGAAAGUGAAAGAGGAGAGUGAAAAAGUUGGCUUAAAGCUCAACAUUCCAAAAAAAGAUCAUGGUAUCUGGCCCCAUCACUU